ACAGAGUCGCCACGGUAAAACAGAGGGUGCGAGCGUUAAUCGGAUUUACUGGGCGUAAAGCGUGCGUAGGCGGCUUCUUAAGUCGGAUGUGAAAUCCCUGAGCUUAACUUAGGAAUUGCAUUCGAUACUGGGAAGCUAGAGUAUGGGAGAGGAUGGUAGAAUUCCAGGUGUAGCGGUGAAAUGCGUAGAGAUCUGGAGGAAUACCGAUGGCGAAGGCAGCCAUCUGGCCUAAUACUGACGCUGAGGUACGAAAGCAUGGGGAGCAAACAGGAUUAGAUACCCCCGUAGUCCCUGUCUCUUAUACA
This 305-nucleotide ribosomal RNA is filed under the name uncultured bacterium. RNAcentral's name for it is "partial 16S ribosomal RNA". It matches the Rfam family "Bacterial small subunit ribosomal RNA", at positions 506 to 808 of the family's 1533-position model. The record is from RNAcentral.